This 2365-nucleotide long non-coding RNA is filed under the name Homo sapiens (human). Its description in RNAcentral is "HSALNT0364628". The record is from RNAcentral. Lineage: Eukaryota; Metazoa; Chordata; Mammalia; Primates; Hominidae.
AUUGUGCUUUGGAAAAAUCAAACGUAGCCUUGAGUUUUAAAAUUAUUAAGCUUACACUUUUUCACAAAAUAGAAAUGGAGUAAUAUAGCUCUGUCCUUCCGUUUUUUAAAGCCAAAAAAUGUAAGAAUGGAAUGUACUGGCUCACUGCUCCCACGGUGUCCUUACCAGCACAACUUACCCCAUCCCUCCCUAGCCCACUCUUGAGGAUACUUUCUUGCCACUGUCAGGCUUACUCCUGCCUCCUAGACUGAGGAAAGAAAAGCCUCCUGGUUUGGAGCUCAUAAUCAAGUCAGCCUUGCUGCAGGGCUCAUUUUAAGCCAGUAUCCUGGACCAGAUAAGGAAGCUGAAGCUUUGAGAAUUUAAUUUGCUCAAGGGGAGGCCAGGACAAGAAAUAAUGAAGAGUCCGAUGUGGCAGGAAUGUAGGAAACAAGUCAAUGAUGGAAGAUAAAUAUGGAGACGUGAUGAAGGCAAAAUUCUGAAGGGUCUUAGAGCCCAUUAUAAGACGUUUGGUUUUUAUGACUAUGCCGUGCAAGACUUGGUAAACUGGUCCCUACCGCAGAGGAUUUUAUACAGAGCACGCUAGUGGCUCACAGAAUAUUUCACUGAUUGCCUUGCCCGCUUCUCAAAGGCCCACUUCUCUGUGGAAUGAUGCAGUUGCUAAGAAGAGCUGUUAAUGUCAUGACCUCAAUGAAUAAAAAAGACUUCCUUUUCUCCAUGCCCACUCAAGUAAAAGGCUUCUCUCUGAACUCCUGCUAAUUUUUCAUCAGCAAAGGUGCACAGCCUUUUGGAAGUGAAAUGAUUACUAGUGAAGAAAAAGAAAGAACCUAACACUUAUUUUACAAGCCUCCCAGUGACCACUCUUCAGACAAAACUUCUUAUAAUAGCUUCCUUCCCUGAAUCUUUUGCGAAACAUCAAAUCACAAAGAGAUCUUAUUAUGCCAUUAAGAAUAUUUAAUUCAUGGGAGGAGGUCAAAAUAUCAACAUUAGCUGGAUUUUGGAAAAAGUGGAUUCCAACCCUCAGUGGACGACUUUGUGGAAUUCAAGACUCCAAUAGAGGAAGUCACCACAAAUAGCAAAAGAACAAGAAUUACCUGUGCAGCCUGAAGACGGGACUGAAUUGCUGCAAUUGUAACAUCAAAUGUUAAAUCUGAACCAGACCAUGUCCUGAAACAAAAGAGGAAGAAUCUUUGGGGAGCUGUGCUGAUGGUUUUGGAUUUCUCCAAAGGAAGAAUGCUUUGCCUGAGUCUUGUAUCCUUGGAAUUAUUAGGAAUGUUUGCCAUUAAAUAAGAUCUGAUUCAUGUGAGUUUGAGUUGACAGCUCUACCCUAUGUGUUAUCUCAGAACUCUAUACAGCAAACUAUAGAAUAUUGUUGAGAUAAAUUAAAUGAAACCUUUCCAAAUGGAAAGAUAUAUAUCAUUUUAUAGAUUGGAAAACUUAAUACUAAAAAGUGAUAGAUUCAAUACAAUGGAAUCUAUUGUUUCUAAAAUGUGCAUUUGUGUUAGUUUAUGUAUGUAUAUAAAAAUUGAAAAGCUAAUUUUAAAAAUACACAUGAAAAUAAAAGGGCCAAGAAGAACUGAGACAUUCUUGUGGAAGAUGUCAAUUCUUGCUGUACAGAUGCUAAGAUUACUAUAAGGCUUUAGUCAUUAAGGCAGAGUGGUAUUCCCUCAAAAAUUGACACACCACUGAAACAGAAUUGAAGGACAAAAAAGCCUCUACAUAAUUAUAGACACUUAAUUUAUGAUAACCAUGUCACUGAAGUUCACAUAGGACAGUUAUUUCAAUAAAUAUUAUUGAGACUGUGCAAGUAAAUAGAUAAAUUGGUAUAUAGGCAGACUCCUGUCCCACACAAUCCAUCAAAAUCAGCUCAUCUUAAAUGGGUUAUAAAAAGAUGUAUACAUUGCACUGACCAUAUUAUGAUUAGGAACUUCUAUUUGUUUAAAAAAUGUGAUUAUGAGAGUAAGAGCAAGCUACAGAUUGGCAGAAAACAUGUGCAUCUUAAUGAACAACAAAGGGCUCAUGCCGAGAAUAUAUAAAGAAAAACAAACCAUUCAGAAACAGACAUCCCUAUGAAAAAGUGGGCAAGAGAACUGAAGAGGCACUUCACAAAAGAAGAUAUCUAAAUGGCCAAUAACCAUAUGAAAAGGUACUGAACCCUUGUAGUAAUCAGAAAACAAUGCAUAUUAAAGCCAUAACACGGUAUUACUGCAUAACAUCAGAAUGGCUAAAAUGAAAAAGACUGACAAUACCAAGAGCUGGAAAAAAUGUGGAACAACUAGUACUCUCCAGUACUUAAUGUGGAAGCAUAAGUUUUUACAACUGCUCAUGAAAAUAAUUUGAUGUUAUCUACUAAUGUUGAAUAUCCUCA